Molecule: RNase P RNA, 408 nt
Filed under: Verrucomicrobiota bacterium
Lineage: Bacteria; Pseudomonadati; Verrucomicrobiota
Description: RNase P RNA component class A
Rfam family: Bacterial RNase P class A
About the family: Ribonuclease P (RNase P) is a ubiquitous endoribonuclease, found in archaea, bacteria and eukarya as well as chloroplasts and mitochondria. Its best characterised activity is the generation of mature 5'-ends of tRNAs by cleaving the 5'-leader elements of precursor-tRNAs.
Source: RNAcentral
GGUCGAUGGCAGAUGAUCGCUGGUGAGCCGCAAGGCUUGCCAGAGGAAAGUCCGAACACCAUACGGCAGCAUGCCGCGUAGAAAACGCGGGCGCCGCAAUUGCAAGAUUGCGGUGACGGAAAGUGUCACAGAAAAGACACCGCCGGUUCUUUGAGAAAAGUGCAGGCAAGGGUGAAAAGGCGAGGUAAGAGCUCACCGCUCGCGGAGUAAUUCGCGAGGCAGGAAAAACCCCAUGCGGUGCAAGACAAAACAGAGGGAGGACAGCCGGUCCGUUGAUCCUUCGGGUAUCGUCGCAUCACGGUCCCGCCACGGCGGGAUCGGGCGCUCAGAGAAAUCUGGGUGAGAUAAAUGAUCAUCGCCCCGAAGAAAUUCGGGGGACAGAAUUCGGCUUACCGCCGUCAAAUAUGA